This 363-nucleotide unclassified non-coding RNA is filed under the name uncultured bacterium. RNAcentral describes it as "contains 16S-23S intergenic spacer region". The record is from RNAcentral.
UCCCCCGUGAGGGGGCAGUCUCGCCUGAUACUUAUAACAGGCAACGGGGGUUGCGUUCGUUACCCCACUGAAGGGAACGAUUCAAACCACGAACUGACGACAGCCAUGCAUCACCUGUCCUACACCCUCGAAGGCUUCCUAGCUUUCGCUAGGCGUGCAGUAGGAUUUCUAGCCCUGGUAAGGUUCUUCGCUUAGCGACGAAUUGAGCCACACGCUCCACCGCUUGUGCAAGCUCCCGUCUAUUCCUUUGAGUUUUAGCCUUGCGGCCGUACUACCCAGGCGGAUCGCUUAACGCGUUAGCUUCGCCUCAGAGAGGGUCGAUACUCCCUAAAGCCAGCGAUCAUCGUUUAGGGCGUGGACUAC